GAUGAACGCUGGCGGCGUGCCUAAUACAUGCAAGUCGAACGCAUAGCGAAAGGUGCUUGCACCUUUCAAGUGAGUGGCGAACGGGUGAGUAACACGUGGACAACCUGCCUCAAGGCUGGGGAUAACAUUUGGAAACAGAUGCUAAUACCGAAUAAAACUUAGUGUCGCAUGACACAAAGUUAAAAGGCGCUUCGGCGUCACCUAGAGAUGGAUCCGCGGUGCAUCAGUUAGUUGGUGGGGUAAAGGCCUACCAAGACAAUGAUGCAUAGCCGAGUUGAGAGACUGAUCGGCCACAUUGGGACUGAGACACGGCCCAAACUCCUACGGGAGGCUGCAGUAGGGAAUCUUCCACAAUGGGCGAAAGCCUGAUGGAGCAACGCCGCGUGUGUGAUGAAGGCUUUCGGGUCGUAAAGCACUGUUGUAUGGGAAGAACAGCUAGAAUAGGAAAUGAUUUUAGUUUGACGGUACCAUACCAGAAAGGGACGGCUAAAUACGUG
This 497-nucleotide ribosomal RNA is filed under the name uncultured bacterium. RNAcentral describes it as "partial 16S ribosomal RNA". It matches the Rfam family "Bacterial small subunit ribosomal RNA", at positions 28 to 507 of the family's 1533-position model. The record is from RNAcentral.